Molecule: long non-coding RNA, 224 nt
Organism: Drosophila arizonae
Lineage: Eukaryota; Metazoa; Arthropoda; Insecta; Diptera; Drosophilidae
Source: RefSeq, a predicted model, not a curated record
UGGAAGUGUGUGACGAGCUCACUCGAAAUUUUAUGCUCGAUUCAUAAAGUCGUGCGUUGAGCUCGUUGCACACACACACACACAAACAAACACAAAGAAACACCCACACACACACACACACACGAGCACAAAUACCGAACUAGAAAAACCUCGACUGGAAUUUCGCUCGAUCGCCGCGCGGCGAACUUGAAGAAAAACUGUUAAACGUCUUCUGCUCUCAAUUC